UUUCUGGGUCAAGGAAGAUAAGGUCUGAGAGUGUUUACAAGUUUUAUAACCAAGGAAGUCCUGGAUGACCUUGGUAAUCGCAACCCCAAUGGCAUGGGAGUGAGUGUUUACCAAUAUGAUGUCAGUACAGCUAGUGAGAUGCAACACAUCACCUUCAGCCCCUUUGCCUCUGGAAGAGAAACCAGACUGCAAAGGCACCGAGUACAGAAGCUAACGGAACUCGAAUGACAAGACAAGAAGAGUAGAACCAGUUAGUGUGACACAACAUUCUAACAUGCCUGACUGUUACAUCAAAUACAGUAAUCUGGGGGCGGGUGGGGUGAAGACAAACAAGGAAAAUCCAUUUGGGUACAAUGUGAUGGAGUUUGCAAACCAGUACUUUACCCCCAAAUUAACAACAGUUUGUAUAGAACAAAGUGCUACUUUAAAAGUACACGGUUUGUACAGGUA
Propithecus coquereli (Coquerel's sifaka) is the source of this 450-nucleotide long non-coding RNA. RefSeq lists it as uncharacterized. The record is from RefSeq and is a predicted model, not a curated record. NCBI's taxonomy places the organism in Eukaryota, Metazoa, Chordata, Mammalia, Primates, Indriidae. The transcript is spliced from 2 exons.